Small nuclear RNA from Cercocebus atys (sooty mangabey), 104 nucleotides. NCBI's taxonomy places the organism in Eukaryota, Metazoa, Chordata, Mammalia, Primates, Cercopithecidae. The record is from Ensembl.
GUGCUUGCUUUGGCACCACAUAUACGGAAAUUGGAAUGAUACACAGAAGAUUAGUAUAACCCCUGUGCAAAAUGUUCCUAAAAUCUAUAAUACACCUGAUUUUC